RNAcentral lists this ribosomal RNA (202 nucleotides) under uncultured bacterium. RNAcentral describes it as "partial 16S ribosomal RNA". It matches the Rfam family "Bacterial small subunit ribosomal RNA", at positions 1283 to 1500 of the family's 1533-position model. The record is from RNAcentral.
CAGUCUCAGCUCGGAUAAGAGGCUGAAACUCGCCUCUUUGAAGUCGGAAUCGCUAGUAAUCGCAGAUCAGCAUGUUGCGGUGAAUACGUUCCCGGGUCUUGUACACACCGCCCGUCAAACCAUGAGAGUCACCAACACCCGAAGUCCGUUUAGGCGGCCUAAGGUGGGGGAGAUGAUUGGGGUUAAGUCGUAACAAGGUAGC